This 76-nucleotide transfer RNA is filed under the name OM182 bacterium BACL3 MAG-120507-bin80. RNAcentral describes it as "tRNA-Glu". It matches the Rfam family "tRNA". From Rfam's summary of the family: Transfer RNA (tRNA) molecules are approximately 80 nucleotides in length. Their secondary structure includes four short double-helical elements and three loops (D, anti-codon, and T loops). Further hydrogen bonds mediate the characteristic L-shaped molecular structure. tRNAs have two regions of fundamental functional importance: the anti-codon, which is responsible for specific mRNA codon recognition, and the 3' end, to which the tRNAs corresponding amino acid is attached (by aminoacyl-tRNA synthetases). tRNAs cope with the degeneracy of the genetic code in two manners: having more than one tRNA (with a specific anti-codon) for a particular amino acid; and 'wobble' base-pairing, i.e. permitting non-standard base-pairing at the 3rd anti-codon position. RNAcentral also lists the same sequence under 17 other names. The record is from RNAcentral. Lineage: Bacteria; Pseudomonadati; Pseudomonadota; Gammaproteobacteria.
GUCCCCUUCGUCUAGAGGCCUAGGACACCUGGUUUUCAUCCAGGCAACAGGGGUUCGAAACCCCUAGGGGACGCCA